This 284-nucleotide unclassified non-coding RNA is filed under the name Hevea brasiliensis (rubber tree). Lineage: Eukaryota; Viridiplantae; Streptophyta; Magnoliopsida; Malpighiales; Euphorbiaceae. The record is from RNAcentral.
GUCUUCUUCAACUGUGCCAAAAAAAAUCUAGCAGAUGGACUGCCUAACCCUGAGUAUCAACACUGGUACUUCCAAGACCAGCUUGUUUUGACAUGGUUGUUUGCAUCUAUUUUUUGAGCAACUUAUGCCUCAGGUUGUUGGUUCCUCCAUGGCCAACGAAGUGUGGACUAAGUUAGAAACCAUUUUUGCAUCAGGCUCAAGGACGCAAGUUAUCCAGCUACGGAAACAAAUGAAACACCUUAAGAAAGGUUUUGAAUCAAUUGACUCAUAUAUGAGAAGGGCCA